GAUGAACGCUGGCGGCGUGCCUAAUACAUGCAAGUCGAGCGAACGGACGAGAAGCUUGCUUCUCUGAUGUUAGCGGCGGACGGGUGAGUAACACGUGGAUAACCUACCUAUAAGACUGGGAUAACUUCGGGAAACCGGAGCUAAUACCGGAUAAUAUUUUGAACCGCAUGGUUCAAAAGUGAAAUACGGUCUUGCUGUCACUUAUAGAUGGAUCCGCGCUGCAUUAGCUAGUUGGUAAGGUAACGGCUUACCAAGGCAACGAUGCAUAGCCGACCUGAGAGGGUGAUCGGCCACACUGGAACUGAGACACGGUCCAGACUCCUACGGGAGGCAGCAGUAGGGAAUCUUCCGCAAUGGGCGAAAGCCUGGCGGAGCAACGCCGCGUGAGUGAUGAAGGUCUUCGGAUCGUAAAACUCUGUUAUUAGGGAAGAACAUAUGUGUAAGUAACUGUGCACAUCUUGACGGUACCUAAUCAGAAAGCCACGGCUAACUACGUG
Molecule: ribosomal RNA, 497 nt
Filed under: uncultured bacterium
Lineage: Bacteria
Description: partial 16S ribosomal RNA
Rfam family: Bacterial small subunit ribosomal RNA
Source: RNAcentral